UCGCAUGACUUAAUAAUCAAAGGAGCAAUCCGCUGAAAGAUGGGCUCGCGUCCGAUUAGGUAGUUGGUGGGGCAACGGCCCACCAAGCCGACGAUCGGUAGCCGGACUGAGAGGUUGAACGGCCACAUUGGGACUGAGACACGGCCCAGACUCCUACGGGAGGCAGCAGUGAGGGAUAUUGGUCAAUGGGGGAAACCCUGAACCAGCAACGCCGCGUGAGGGAAGACGGUUUUCGGAUUGUAAACCUCUGUCCUCUGUGAAGAUAAUGACGGUAGCAGAGGAGGAAGCUCCGGCUAACUACGUGCCAGCAGCCGCGGUAAUACGUAGGGAGCAAGCGUUGUCCGGAUUUACUGGGUGUAAAGGGUGCGUAGGCGGCUUUGCAAGUCAGAAGUGAAAUCCAUGGGCUUAACCCAUGAACUGCUUUUGAAACUGCAGAGCUUGAGUGGAGUAGAGGUAGGCGGAAUUCCCGGUGUAGCGGUGAAAUGCGUAGAGAUCGGGAGGAACACCAGUGGCGAAGGCGGCCUACUGGGCUCUAACUGACGCUGAGGCACGAAAGCGUGGGUAGCAAACAGGAUUAGAUACCCUGGUAGUCCACGCUGUAAACGAUGAUUACUAGGUGUGGGUGGACUGACCCCAUCCGUGCCGGAG
Molecule: ribosomal RNA, 648 nt
Filed under: uncultured bacterium
Lineage: Bacteria
Description: bacterial SSU rRNA
Rfam family: Bacterial small subunit ribosomal RNA
Source: RNAcentral